CCUACGGGAGGCAGCAGUGGGGAAUAUUGGGCAAUGGGCGCAAGCCUGACCCAGCAACGCCGCGUGAAGGAAGAAGGCCUUCGGGUUGUAAACUUCUUUUAUCAGGGACGAAGCAAGUGACGGUACCGGAUGAAUAAGCCACGGCUAACUACGUGCCAGCAGCCGCGGUAAUACGUAGGUGGCAAGCGUUAUCCGGAUUUACUGGGUGUAAAGGGCGCGUAGGCGGGAUUGCAAGUCAGAUGUGAAAACUAUGGGCUCAACCCAUAGCUUGCAUUUGAAACUGUACUUCUUGAGUACUGGAGAGGGAAGCGGAAUUCGGUGUGUAGCGGUGAAAUGCGUAGAUAUAAGGAGGAACACCAGUGGCGAAGGCGGAUUGCUGGACAGUAACUGACGCUGAGGCGCGAAAGCGUGGGGAGCAAACAGGAUUAGAUACCCGAGUAGUC
Molecule: ribosomal RNA, 443 nt
Filed under: uncultured bacterium
Lineage: Bacteria
Description: partial 16S ribosomal RNA
Rfam family: Bacterial small subunit ribosomal RNA
Source: RNAcentral